GCGGGGGUUUCCCAGCCAGGUCAAAGGUAUUAAUACAAAAGCUUUAUGAUUAGAUACCGACAAAAGGAGCUGGACUUAGGAUCCAGUCGCAUAGGCGUUCGUGAGUUCAAAUCUCACCCCCCGCA
This 125-nucleotide transfer RNA is filed under the name Candidatus Heimdallarchaeota archaeon. RNAcentral describes it as "tRNA-Leu". The record is from RNAcentral. Lineage: Archaea; Promethearchaeati; Candidatus Heimdallarchaeota.